This 227-nucleotide long non-coding RNA is filed under the name Pelobates cultripes (western spadefoot toad). Lineage: Eukaryota; Metazoa; Chordata; Amphibia; Anura; Pelobatidae. The record is from RNAcentral.
GUUACACGCGUCUGGGAGCUGCUGUUGACAGGUACUAGUAAUCUAGAGAUUGGGGUAUAUGCUCAGCUAUCUGUAUAAUACAGAUCUGUGUGUAUAAAAUAUCCCGGGACAGUCAGUGCUUCCUGUAUAGUGCUGCUCUCUGUCUUGGGAUAUUAUACACAAACAGACCUGUAUUAUACAGAGAGCAGCACUAUACAGGGAGCACUGAGUGUCCCAAUUUAUUAUAC